Molecule: long non-coding RNA, 2977 nt
Organism: Oreochromis niloticus (Nile tilapia)
Lineage: Eukaryota; Metazoa; Chordata; Actinopteri; Cichliformes; Cichlidae
Exons: 3
Source: RefSeq, a predicted model, not a curated record
CAACUGCUUGUUAAUGCAAAUAUCAGAUCAGUCAAGGGAGUCAAAGGCAGACAAGGGAGAAACUGUAAAUUCAGUCAUAUAGACACGGUCAAGACGACCUGCUGGAGAUGAAACAGGCCAUAAGAAUGGGGAAGAAAAAUGAAUGAAGACACUUUGAAUGUGGCAUGGUGGUAUUUCAGAAACUGCUGAUCUACUGGGGUUUUCACACACAACCAUUUCGAAGGUUUAAAGAGAAAGAUCCAAAAAAUAUCCAGUGAGCAGAAGUUCUCUGGGUGAAAAUGCCUUUUUGAUGCCAGAUGUCAGAAGAAAGUGGCCAGACUACUUUGAAUUGAUACGAAGACCACACUGAGUGCCACUCCUGUCAGCGAAGAAUAAGACACUCCAAAAUCUGCAUGGGCUCUCCAAAACUGGACAGGAGUGAACUGGACAAAUGUGUACCCAUCUUCUGACGGCUGCCUCCUGCAGGAUAAAAUAUCAUGUCACAAAGCUCAAAUGAUCUCAUUCUUGAACAUGACAGUGAGUUCAGCGUACUCAAAUAGCCUCCAAAGUCACCAGAUCUCAAUGCAUAUUGCGGUAGAACAGGAAAAAGGGCUUCCAACCAAGCUGGGAGGAUUUAAAAAAAACUGUUGAGUGUCUCACUUCACGGCUCUUCCUGUUUGAGUUUCCUCACUCUGCUCCGCACAGAGCAGACGUCCCUGCAGGAUAAUACUCGGAUGAGCAUUAUCUGCAGAAAGCAGCCUCAACUUAAUCCAAACUGCACCGAGGGCAGGAAACUAUUGACGACCUCCGAGUAGAAGGUGAGACGAGAAAAAAGCUAAUUAUAGCUCACAAAAUCUCAAGAAUUCCACGCGUUCAUGAACACAAAUCUCUUUUUAGCUUUAAUAUAAACCCCAGCUAUUUCUGUGUCAAUAUUGAACAUGCAGAGAUUACAUAUUUAAUCUCUGGCAUGGAUACUAUUUUAUGGUCAAGGAAUGCUUUUGCUGAAUUACAGCAUGUUUGACAUUUCGAGAUUCCUCACAUUCUUCAGCGGUGGUAAACUCCCAGCACGCUUCUGUAAGCCUACCGGUGCGAUCCAGAUGCAAAAAUAACCGGGGAAGAAGAUGACAUAAAAUAUUUUGCAGAUGGUCCAGAAAUUCAGACCUGAGACUCUUGUAAUCUGUGAACACUUCACAUAUUUGUUGCGGUCAUUGCCUUGGUAAAAAAAGUCACAUGUGAGAAUUGAAGCUAGGAGUAGUUAAUGAUCUCACUUUAAUUCAGGUUUAAAGAUGAUUUUAAAAAAAAUACUUUGACUCUAAUAAACCAGAAACCUGAUAAAACGGAGGCCUGUAAAUAUUGAAGUUUCAUAAAACUAACAAAGAUAUCUGAAUUGCCCAUCUGACAUUUCCACCGCUGUUUAUUGUUGAUGAUAUUUUCACCUGAAACACUGAUAUCAUCCAGUUGUUUUUCCUUCAGGAAGUUCCUGCAACUGCUCAUUAAUUGUUGCUGAGGGGCCAAAGUUUGAGAAAAACAAGCUGCACCACCAGCUCCGAGUUCAAGUUAACUUAAGAGGGAAAAUAGGGGCUGAGGGUAGAUUUUAUUGUUGCAUUAAUGUCCCUUUCUUGCACCGAAUGUUUGUGCGCUACCGUGUUUUUCUGCAUUUCGCCUUGCCGUGUUGUUUUGUAAUAUUGUCAUGGGAGUUGAACUGACGUCAGAUUUCUUCCUCUCAUUCAGGUGGCGGGUGGACUCUAGCACUAGAUCUUCAUUUUCCUAAUCAGCUCUUCUGCUCUCUCCUCCAGGACGGGUCGUCCUUCCCUCGACCUCCGUGCUCGUCCAUUUCCUUCCAACUCUUUUAAGAUUUCUUGUCCUUUUCACUGACUCAUGAUGUUUCCUUAUGCAGAUCCCUUUUAGCCAAGCAGAUUUUAAGUAAGGAAGUAUUGGUUGUACUUAUCCUGUUAGGGCCACCUUUGGUACUAUGUUGUAGCUUUUUGCUGCAAAAAAUUCCUAAUAUACAUUACAGGUUUCAGAGCCAGGACAUUUUCAAGGAGCAGGUAAGAAUAUAUUUGCUUUACAGUUUAGUGGAGUCUAGGAGCAUUUCAUAAAUAAACUGGGAGUCCAUCCAGCAUGUUUCACGUGUCUCACUCCUCUCACAGCUGGAAGAGGCUCCAGUCUGUUCUGCAACCAUGAACUUUACAGGCAGCAGAAAAUAAAUAAAUACCUUUAUAUUAUUUUUGCAACAAUAUUUUGCAAAAGUUGACUAUUUUCACGUAUAAAUAAAUGUCUUCAAUGUCUUCAAAGUCAGUAGUUACCUGUCAAAUGAAGAUGAUUAACACUUGAGAAUCUGUCAAAGUCUUAUAAUAAGUUUUGACAGUGAUCCAAUAGUCUAACAACUACAGUGACCAGGUAGUAAGAUUAAUGAGGAACCACGGCUGCAACCACACAUUUUCAUCCCUCUUCCCUCCAAACCAGGCUCACGUGACGCCUCGUGGCCUAUUACAUGUUUAUUAUGUGAAAGCGCUGCAGCACGAGAGUUUAAACAUAAUUUUUGGUUGGAUAAUUGUUUUGAAACACUGAAAAGAAGUACUAAGUAGUAACAUGUGUACAGAUGAACCUUAUGCAUAAGUCUAAUCUAACUUUACAUCACUUCCACUUUCCCACGCUGUCAAGCUGAUUGUGACAUCACUGGUAUGGUCCAAUCAUCUUUCUUCUUCAAAGCAAUCAGCCUUCACUCCCCGUACAUUAAAUCUCACUACACAUCUGUCAUUCUCUCUGCAGACGCCUUCAUGCAACCCACCUCCUCCCCAUCUCUGCCUCUCCCUCAUCACUCAGUCUCCAUUUAAGCCUCCAUCUUCAUCUCCACCACCAUUGUCUAGACUCUGGGGGUCCUGCCCUGAUCCCUGUCACCACUGGGAUCACGUUCUGCUGUGAUGGGCCAUCGGCGUCUGACCGCCAAAUGCUUCAAAUUCAAUUGUGUGCAUCAAUAAAUCAUUUUCAGUUGCUU